RNAcentral lists this ribosomal RNA (441 nucleotides) under uncultured bacterium. RNAcentral's name for it is "partial 16S ribosomal RNA". It matches the Rfam family "Bacterial small subunit ribosomal RNA", at positions 338 to 795 of the family's 1533-position model. The record is from RNAcentral.
CCUACGGGAGGCAGCAGUGGGGAAUAUUGCACAAUGGGGGAAACCCUGAUGCAGCAACACCGCGUGAGUGAGGAAGUAUUUCGGUAUGUAAAGCUCUAUCAGCAGGGAAUAGAAAAGAAGGUACCUGAAAAAGAAGCCCCGGCGAACUACGUGCCAGAAGCCGCGGUAAUUCGUAGGGGGAAAGCGUUAUCCGGAUAUACUGGGUGUAAAGGGAGCGUAGACGGAAAGGCAAGUCAGAAGUGAAAGCCCAAGGCUCAACCAUGGGAAUGCUUUUGAUACUGUCAAACUAGAGUAAGGGAGAGGUAAGAGGAAUUCCAGGUGUAGCGGUGAAAUGCGUAGAUAUUAGGAGGAACACCAGUGGCGAAGGCGUCUUACUGGAUCUAAACUGACGCUGAGGCUCGAAAGCGUGGGGAGCAAACAGGAUUAGAUACCCGAGUAGUC